This 786-nucleotide ribosomal RNA is filed under the name uncultured bacterium. Its description in RNAcentral is "bacterial SSU rRNA". It matches the Rfam family "Bacterial small subunit ribosomal RNA", at positions 61 to 829 of the family's 1533-position model. The record is from RNAcentral.
GUCGAGCGAACGGACGAGAAGCUUGCUUCUCUGAUGUUAGCGGCGGACGGGUGAGUAACACGUGGAUAACCUACCUAUAAGACUGGGAUAACUUCGGGAAACCGUAGCUAAUACCGGAUAAUAUUUUGAACCGCAUGGUUCAAAAGUGAAAGACGGUCUUGCUGUCACUUAUAGAUGGAUCCGCGCUGCAUUAGCUAGUUGGUAAGGUAACGGCUUACCAAGGCAACGAUGCAUAGCCGACCUGAGAGGGUGAUCGGCCACACUGGAACUGAGACACGGUCCAGACUCCUACGGGAGGCAGCAGUAGGGAAUCUUCCGCAAUGGGCGAAAGCCUGACGGAGCAACGCCGCGUGAGUGAUGAAGGUCUUCGGAUCGUAAAACUCUGUUAUUAGGGAAGAACAUAUGUGUAAGUAACUGUGCACAUCUUGACGGUACCUAAUCAGAAAGCCACGGCUAACUACGUGCCAGCAGCCGCGGUAAUACGUAGGUGGCAAGCGUUAUCCGGAAUUAUUGGGCGUAAAGCGCGCGUAGGCGGUUUUUUAAGUCUGAUGUGAAAGCCCACGGCUCAACCGUGGAGGGUCAUUGGAAACUGGAAAACUUGAGUGCAGAAGAGGAAAGUGGAAUUCCAUGUGUAGCGGUGAAAUGCGCAGAGAUAUGGAGGAACACCAGUGGCGAAGGCGACUUUCUGGUCUGUAACUGACGCUGAUGUGCGAAAGCGUGGGGAUCAAACAGGAUUAGAUACCCUGGUAGUCCACGCCGUAAACGAUGAGUGCUAAGUGUUAGGGG